Molecule: ribosomal RNA, 397 nt
Filed under: uncultured bacterium
Lineage: Bacteria
Description: bacterial SSU rRNA
Rfam family: Bacterial small subunit ribosomal RNA
Source: RNAcentral
GACGAACGCUGGCGGCGUGCUUAACACAUGCAAGUCGAGCGGUAAGGCCCUUUCGGGGGUACGACGAGCGGCGAACGGGUGAGUAACACGUGGGUGACCUGCCCUCAGCUCUGGGAUAAGCCUGGGAAACCGGGUCUAAUACUGGAUAUGACUCCAUGACGCAUGUUGUGGGGUGGAAAGCCUUGUGCGGCUGAGGAUGGGCCCGCGGCCUAUCAGCUUGUUGGUGGGGUGAGGGCCUACCAAGGCGACGACGGGUAGCCGGCCUGAGAGGGCGACCGGCCACACUGGGACUGAGACACGGCCCAGACUCCUACGGGAGGCAGCAGUGGGGAAUCUUGCGCAAUGGGCGAAAGCCUGACGCAGCGACGCCGCGUGAGGGAUGACGGCCUGGUUGUAA